AAUGAAGGAUUUGGUGGUAUUUUUGUAAAGAGUGAUUGUUGUACAACUUAGGUAGAAUUUUUCUCGAAUCAGUCGCGUAGCCAGCUUGACAAAUCUAGAAUCGCUAUAUGGACUGAUUUACGGGCAUUACAACUAUUUAUUCCAUUAGAAAUUCAUUGUUCUCACAGUCAAUGAAUAUUAACAUGUAAAGUAGGAGAUUUUCAAUGGUCGGGUUUGCCACGGAUGCCUUGCACGCUACUAUGGCGAAUAUGGCAAUUACAUAUAGGUCAUAAUUGUAUCAACACCGCAGCUAUAUUAAUAAGCUGGAAUUGAAAAUGCAUCUCUGGAAAUAUAUUGUCAUUCGUAUUUUUAGUUACAACAGUACCCAUGCAAGGUUGAUUUCCGAUGUUUUGAUCGGCAAGUUAAAGAAUACGCUUCUGUCGUUUUGUGGUCGAAUAUACGCCGGAAAAGCAGAAGCUGCAUGCGAUCGUGGUUGCAGGGGGUUCAUUUAAGCAACACUGAGGAAACCGGGCUUCUGCUCAUUUCACUUCACGGGCAGCACGGAGACUUUUACUGAAGACGGAAAGAAACUGCAACGAAAUAUGGUGAUGAAAGGUUUAUUGAUGAUCUGUUUGUUUCUCGUGGUCUUUGAAUUUUCGCGGGGAAAUGUGAUGUCAGGACAAAUAACUGAUUGCGAAAUACAUGGUGGAUUUUGUAUACCUUUCUAUCAAAAUAGUCCAACCUGCGCAGACUAUGGCGCAGUGCCCUACGCAUAUUCGUGUCUUUUAGGAGCAAACUGUUGCCGCUAAGACUGAAACUAAGAUGUGGGACAGGUACACCGCUAAACUUU
Dendronephthya gigantea is the source of this 829-nucleotide long non-coding RNA. RefSeq lists it as uncharacterized. The transcript has 4 exons. The record is from RefSeq and is a predicted model, not a curated record. NCBI's taxonomy places the organism in Eukaryota, Metazoa, Cnidaria, Anthozoa, Malacalcyonacea, Nephtheidae.